CACGGCUGGGACCCGGACCCCCUGACGAGGCUCGGAGGAGGGGUGCGGCCCCGCGAGCCCGGGGAGCGGAACCAGACGACGUCCGUCCCGGUCUUGCCACCUGAGGGUGGGGGGCUUCUGGCAAGUCACUCAGCCUCGACACCCAUGCAGACGUGUGUGGACCAGGUCACAACCCAAGGAUGUUUCUCCAAGGCUUCUGAGGUGCGAGCUCCAAAAGCGGACAAGCUCAAGUUUCUGGCGUGUCUGGAUGAGCUGCUUUCUCCUCCCGUUGGGUCCAGGGCCGCUUUCAAGUUUCAAGUUUCCAACUAGGCGGUCACUUCCUGCUGCCAACGAUGCCGGACUCCUGCCUGGGUCACUCUGGUCAAGCGGCUAUUGCAGUUUUAUUCCUAAUUCUACCAGAAGAUGCCCUGCAGUGAUGAAUUUCUAGAAGAUGCAACUCUCACGAAGGCCUUCUCAAGUGGGAAUGUCCCUGCUCACCUGCCUACUCCUGAGCACCUCCUGAAGGAGGGCAGGAAGCGGCUGUGGAGGGGUGGAGAAUACAGACGGCAGGUAUUUGCGCCUUCGGAGAAAUGAGACUGUUAAUCCCUCCAUUGCUCUACGACCUUUGCCACCAUGAUGUUUCCCGUGUCCUUCCCUCUGGGUUUCGCCCCUAACUAUAACUAAACCUGCCUCGAGGACAGCCAGAGCUAAGGGUACACUCAGGGAGUCCACCCAACUCUGGUAAGCAUAAACUUGGUAUAAAAAAGGAAGGCAGGUACCGGGAUAAACAUCUGGUGAACGGAUCAUCUUUCAAGAGCUGAAUUUGAUUAAGUGCUUCCUUCACAGCUAUACUUACAAGCAAGCAUUUGCGACUUUGAAACCUAAGCCCCUGCAGCAUCCUAUUUCCCAGAUUAGAAAAAACACACAGGACAAGAACCCUUACAAGCCUCUUGUCUCAAAUUCUACACACGUACACACACACAUACACACACGUACACACGUGCUCACACUGCCCUUGGCCUGAGAAUCAAGAUAGAAGUAUAAUGACUUGGUGUUGUUUUUUUUAUUUUAAAGAUUUUAUUUAUUUAUUCAUGAGAAUACACAGAAAGGAGAGAGAGAGUGAGAGAGAGGCAGAAACACAGGCUGAAGAAGAAGCAGGCUCCAUGCAGGGAGCCUGACAUGGGACUUGAUCCCAGGUCUCCAGGAUCAUGCCCUGGGCUGAAGGCAGCGCUAAACCGCUGAGCCACCCGGGCUGCCCAUGACUUGGAGUUCUAAUUCAAAUUACUCUCUGUUGGCAAGACUCAACAUCUAAGUGCUCAGCUCUUACUUUUCAGGAUCCAAAUUUGGAACACUAACAGUAAAUAUGUGUUGUCAACUGAUUAUCUGCUUUCUUUUCUCCAAACAGAGCAUCUUUUAUGCUCCCUUGGUUAGCUGAAGACCCAUUCACUCCAAGCAUACUUGUUGCUCAUCUGCACUCCUGGACCGGCUCCCAGGGUGGAUGCUGACGAGUGCCAACCUCUUGAAGGAACACGUAAUUAUCCAUGGAGUGAAACUUGUGCCCCCUUUCUUUCUGCUACUUUUUUUUUCCCAGUGAACCUGCUGGCAAAAAUUGGAGCCCUAAGAACAUACCUACUGGCAUUUCAAGCAGCUGUGAUUAUAAAAGGAAUGUUAAGUGUACAGGGAGCUGAAUCGAAAGCAGUAAACAUUAGCAGGCAGGCCAGCAUACUAAAUAAGCCCUCAUCUGACACAUCAGGGCGCCUGGGGCCCAGCUCUGAAAUGGCACAGGCGUUCCAGCUAAAGACAGCUCAAGACUAACCAGGCGUCUUACCUUCACUGUGUUGGAUGCAGAAUAAAUCAGGACAGAGACAACAGAAUGGAAUUUCCCUCCUUGAGCUAUACUAUUCUGCGUGCCACCUCAGACUUACCGUAGAAAGGAACAAACACCACUCUUCACUAAAUCUACUCUUCAAUGUAUCUAAAUUUUAAGUCUAGGAUCCUGAAAGACACAAACAGCUUCAAAGAUGUGAAAACAGCAUGUACAUCCAAUGGGUCCCUGGAACUGUGCCCUGAGAGCCAGGUGUUCUUCACUGUACCCCAUGAUCCAAACAGAUUUCUGAUGAGGUCAGAAUAGGCGGUGUGAAUUUGUAAUUAACUACAUUACAGAGAUAAAAUGAGACUGCCCCGCCUCUCUCCUCCAGCAAACGAUAGGUGGUGAGGUCCUGAGGAUACAUAAUGUAAAAGGAAGCAUAUGUGUGGAAGCAUAUCUGCCACAAGUUAGAAAUGUUAGAGCAGCAAUGAGAUACAAAUAGAACAGGACGGCUCCCUCAGCAGUUUCAGGCGGCUAAGAAGUAAGCAUACGUCACACUUGGUGCUGUCCAGGAGAGCAAAGCACACAGCAGAUGCCUGAAGAAGACUGAGUUAGAUUCAGGAGGUAAAUUCACAUUAUCAGAGACCCUCAAUAAUCUGAGAGAAACUGGAUUUCUUGGAAAAACUAAACUCAGCCCCACAAGGUUUGGAGAAAACUCUAAAAGGUACAUGAAACUCUGGGGGGACAGAACAGAGGUCAGCUUGAUCCUCGGCCUGCCCAACACAUUUGGGAAAUCUCUCUGUAAGAGCUUGAAGAGCUCUAGGCCUUACUUGCAUGAAGGACUCCAGCCUCUGACUAUCAUCGUGAUGGAGUUUCCUUUCUACCUCCUCACACAGAAGCUGUCCAUUCCCUACUGCAGGGUCUCCUGAAGUGCACACCUUUGAUGGUUACAGGGCAUUCUUCCCCAUACAGAAUCCAUGUCUGGCCCUCACUGCUCCCCUUCCUGCCUUACACGGACCAUUGCAGAAUAAGUAGCCCUAUCACCAUCUAAAAGAAUUCCCUGGGCAACCCUGGUGGCCCAGCGGUUUGGCACUGCCUUUGACCCAGGGUGUGAUCCUGGAGACCCAGGAUCGAGUCCUGCGUCGGGCUCCCUGCAUGCAGCCUGCUUCUCUCCCUCUGCCUGUGUCUCUGCCUCUCUCUGUGUCUGUCAUGAAUAAAUAAAUAAAAUCUUUAAAAAUAAAAUAAAAGAAUUCCCAUGAUUAAAUUUCAUGUCUGAAAUCUGGUCCAUUAUGUCGGUCAGUCUGGAGCUUGGAGAACUUCGUGCUGUCACCCAGGCAUUCAUGAUUCCUACUAGUUUUCUGUCAUUUACGUGAAGAAUCCAAGUCAAGUUUUCUUGGGACCCAAGAAUGUCCAACACUACCAAGCCCAUCCUGCUCCUUCUGUCUGCCACAGCCCCACAGCAGAUGACAUGCAUGGCAGUGUCCAAUAAUGGCACAGUAAGACCUGGUAGAGACUAAGGCUUGGGUCUGAGCAUGAAGCGGACUCUUUCCACACCUUAAUGCCAAAAUCUA
This is a long non-coding RNA of Canis lupus familiaris (dog), 3357 nucleotides long. RefSeq lists it as uncharacterized. The transcript has 3 exons. NCBI's taxonomy places the organism in Eukaryota, Metazoa, Chordata, Mammalia, Carnivora, Canidae. The record is from RefSeq and is a predicted model, not a curated record.